Molecule: transfer RNA, 70 nt
Filed under: Neotoma lepida (desert woodrat)
Lineage: Eukaryota; Metazoa; Chordata; Mammalia; Rodentia; Cricetidae
Rfam family: tRNA
About the family: Transfer RNA (tRNA) molecules are approximately 80 nucleotides in length. Their secondary structure includes four short double-helical elements and three loops (D, anti-codon, and T loops).
Source: Rfam by way of RNAcentral
GGGGAUGUAGCUUAGUUAGUGAAGUGCUUGCCUAGCAUGCGGGAGGGCCUGGGUUUGAUCCCCAGCACCA